RNAcentral lists this transfer RNA (71 nucleotides) under Heterocephalus glaber (naked mole-rat). It matches the Rfam family "tRNA". Rfam says of the family: Transfer RNA (tRNA) molecules are approximately 80 nucleotides in length. Their secondary structure includes four short double-helical elements and three loops (D, anti-codon, and T loops). Further hydrogen bonds mediate the characteristic L-shaped molecular structure. tRNAs have two regions of fundamental functional importance: the anti-codon, which is responsible for specific mRNA codon recognition, and the 3' end, to which the tRNAs corresponding amino acid is attached (by aminoacyl-tRNA synthetases). tRNAs cope with the degeneracy of the genetic code in two manners: having more than one tRNA (with a specific anti-codon) for a particular amino acid; and 'wobble' base-pairing, i.e. permitting non-standard base-pairing at the 3rd anti-codon position. Lineage: Eukaryota; Metazoa; Chordata; Mammalia; Rodentia; Bathyergidae. The record is from Rfam by way of RNAcentral.
AGAGGUGUGGCUCAGUGGUGAAGCAUUUGCCAGCAUUCUGGAGGCCCUGGGUUCAAUUCCCAGCACCACAA